This 231-nucleotide long non-coding RNA is filed under the name Setaria italica (foxtail millet). Its description in RNAcentral is "long non-coding RNA (SITA_LNC001526)". The record is from RNAcentral. Lineage: Eukaryota; Viridiplantae; Streptophyta; Magnoliopsida; Poales; Poaceae.
CUAACUCCCAGUGUGAAGGCAAGCCCCGGAGCAUGAUUUCCUAUCUUUAAAUACUUGCAAUACAAUUGAUUGCUUUGACUGCGCAUUUACGUUCCAGGAGUUGAUUGAAACCGUAGAUGCAUGAACUUAGUACCCUUGAUAUGAACACUAGUAUAUUAAGUCGAGUAGUUGUAAUGCUUAAUAGGACUCGGUAAAAGUCGAGUGAUUGUCUGUCACUCGCGAGUUAUAGGA